CGAGUGUUGACCAUCAGUUUGCCAAUAUCAGAGUGGAGGAACAGUAUGGGAGGAAACAUCCACGUGUCCUGAUCCCAGAAGACGUGGCCCAUAUAAUCCUAUUGAAAACAGUCAAGUCGCAGGAUUGAUUAAGGACAGGAAGUGAAGGCAGACAAGAUAAUGUCGAGAAGAGUAUGUUUGGAUGAAUACAAGCACAAAACAGCAAGAUCUUGAGAGAUAUCUGGAUUCCCAACAGGGCCAUGUCAACGAGGACUGUAAGGAAUCGGUUGAAGAUCGCUGGAUACUGAGUCAGGACGCCUAUCAAACAUCCCCUUCUGACACCAGCAAACAAAGCAGCACAUUUAGCAUGGUGUCAGGUAUGCCACAGAUGGAAUCUUGCA
Molecule: long non-coding RNA, 380 nt
Organism: Gigantopelta aegis
Lineage: Eukaryota; Metazoa; Mollusca; Gastropoda; Neomphalida; Peltospiridae
Exons: 3
Source: RefSeq, a predicted model, not a curated record